AUUGAACGCUGGCGGCAUGCCUUACACAUGCAAGUCGAACGGUAACAGGUCUUCGGAUGCUGACGAGUGGCGAACGGGUGAGUAAUACAUCGGAACGUGCCCGAUCGUGGGGGAUAACGGAGCGAAAGCUUUGCUAAUACCGCAUACGAUCUACGGAUGAAAGCAGGGGACCGCAAGCUCUGCGCGGACGGAGCGGCCGA
RNAcentral lists this ribosomal RNA (200 nucleotides) under uncultured bacterium. RNAcentral's name for it is "partial 16S ribosomal RNA". It matches the Rfam family "Bacterial small subunit ribosomal RNA", at positions 30 to 233 of the family's 1533-position model. The record is from RNAcentral.